Molecule: ribosomal RNA, 1474 nt
Filed under: Lactiplantibacillus plantarum
Lineage: Bacteria; Bacillati; Bacillota; Bacilli; Lactobacillales; Lactobacillaceae
Description: Lactobacillus plantarum 16S ribosomal RNA
Rfam family: Bacterial small subunit ribosomal RNA
Source: RNAcentral
UGGCGGCGUGCCUAAUACAUGCAAGUCGAACGAACUCUGGUAUUGAUUGGUGCUUGCAUCAUGAUUUACAUUUGAGUGAGUGGCGAACUGGUGAGUAACACGUGGGAAACCUGCCCAGAAGCGGGGGAUAACACCUGGAAACAGAUGCUAAUACCGCAUAACAACUUGGACCGCAUGGUCCGAGUUUGAAAGAUGGCUUCGGCUAUCACUUUUGGAUGGUCCCGCGGCGUAUUAGCUAGAUGGUGGGGUAACGGCUCACCAUGGCAAUGAUACGUAGCCGACCUGAGAGGGUAAUCGGCCACAUUGGGACUGAGACACGGCCCAAACUCCUACGGGAGGCAGCAGUAGGGAAUCUUCCACAAUGGACGAAAGUCUGAUGGAGCAACGCCGCGUGAGUGAAGAAGGGUUUCGGCUCGUAAAACUCUGUUGUUAAAGAAGAACAUAUCUGAGAGUAACUGUUCAGGUAUUGACGGUAUUUAACCAGAAAGCCACGGCUAACUACGUGCCAGCAGCCGCGGUAAUACGUAGGUGGCAAGCGUUGUCCGGAUUUAUUGGGCGUAAAGCGAGCGCAGGCGGUUUUUUAAGUCUGAUGUGAAAGCCUUCGGCUCAACCGAAGAAGUGCAUCGGAAACUGGGAAACUUGAGUGCAGAAGAGGACAGUGGAACUCCAUGUGUAGCGGUGAAAUGCGUAGAUAUAUGGAAGAACACCAGUGGCGAAGGCGGCUGUCUGGUCUGUAACUGACGCUGAGGCUCGAAAGUAUGGGUAGCAAACAGGAUUAGAUACCCUGGUAGUCCAUACCGUAAACGAUGAAUGCUAAGUGUUGGAGGGUUUCCGCCCUUCAGUGCUGCAGCUAACGCAUUAAGCAUUCCGCCUGGGGAGUACGGCCGCAAGGCUGAAACUCAAAGGAAUUGACGGGGGCCCGCACAAGCGGUGGAGCAUGUGGUUUAAUUCGAAGCUACGCGAAGAACCUUACCAGGUCUUGACAUACUAUGCAAAUCUAAGAGAUUAGACGUUCCCUUCGGGGACAUGGAUACAGGUGGUGCAUGGUUGUCGUCAGCUCGUGUCGUGAGAUGUUGGGUUAAGUCCCGCAACGAGCGCAACCCUUAUUAUCAGUUGCCAGCAUUAAGUUGGGCACUCUGGUGAGACUGCCGGUGACAAACCGGAGGAAGGUGGGGAUGACGUCAAAUCAUCAUGCCCCUUAUGACCUGGGCUACACACGUGCUACAAUGGAUGGUACAACGAGUUGCGAACUCGCGAGAGUAAGCUAAUCUCUUAAAGCCAUUCUCAGUUCGGAUUGUAGGCUGCAACUCGCCUACAUGAAGUCGGAAUCGCUAGUAAUCGCGGAUCAGCAUGCCGCGGUGAAUACGUUCCCGGGCCUUGUACACACCGCCCGUCACACCAUGAGAGUUUGUAACACCCAAAGUCGGUGGGGUAACCUUUUAGGAACCAGCCGCCUAAGGUGGGACAGAUGAUU